Molecule: long non-coding RNA, 383 nt
Organism: Dendronephthya gigantea
Lineage: Eukaryota; Metazoa; Cnidaria; Anthozoa; Malacalcyonacea; Nephtheidae
Exons: 4
Source: RefSeq, a predicted model, not a curated record
UAAUUUUUCUUUUGUAUAAUUUAUUCUCUAGUUUUGCUGGCCCAUUGCGCGCUAUUUACUGAAAUUUCUACAUCAGCAAAUGACAGAGCCCAACUGCUGAAAUACAGUCAGAUAGCUUCAAUCAUGGGAUCUUCUGCCGUAUUUGUUGCCGAUUAUGUGUCAGAUAGUCAAAAUAAUUUUGUCGAUUUUCAAAUACUUUGCGUCAUUGUGGCAAUAAUAAGUUGCGUGGCCAUGUGUUAUGCUGGGCUCAAUGUGAAAGUGGACAAAAAAUAUGAACCAGUUAUGGACGAGAAAGGGGACAAAAAAAAUGGGCCUACAUCAGUGUCUUGGUGGUCACUAACCUUUCAAAUAUGCAUUACAGAAGAAUUUCGGUGAGUAAUUUU